GAUGUAAUACUCAGCACUAUAUUUAUGGCUUAAAUAAACUACCAGCAAAAUUACAAUUAAGUUUUGACAGAAGCAUUUGCAUAGAAUAGUAAAUAAAAAAAUCACUUACUAAACCUUAGCUUUUUAAAUGAUGACAAAAUGACAAUUAAGAAUGACCUAAUAUGAAUAUUUUAUUAGGCUUAAUAAAAUGUAAAGUCAAGACUAAUUCCAAAAACUAAUUCCAAGGACUAACUUAUUUUUUGACCACUUUGCUUGAUUGUCAGGGGGAAAAAACCCUACAACUGUUUUACAGUCCAUUGCUGAAAAUAAAUUGGAGCUAACUGCUUCUUUUCAGGAAAGCCACAGUGCCAGAUUAGCACACAAAACAUAUUUUUAAGGUAUUUUAAUUUUUUUUUUCCUGAGGAAUAGUAAAAUAACUUGGAUUAAUAUAAUUACUAUGCAAGAGGCAGCACUUUGAGCUACACAUACAGGGAAAAAGAGCACUUUUUUUCCAGUUGUCAUUGCCAGCAGCCCUACCCAAUCCAGCUUUGAAGUCUAAUUUGGAAAUUUUUCCCAGGGUACCAGCCUGUGGUUUCCUUUUUUCUGGAGCAUCCCAUGGCCCCAUAGCUCUAUGGAAACAAUGAUACAUUUGUGCUCCCCAGUGAUCACCACUGUUGCAGAAUGGAUGUGAGCAGGGGAAUGACACUUCAGUUGAGCGUAGGAGAGAGGAGGGAGCCCACAUUGCUGAAGUCCAGGCUGGAGUCUGGUCCCUAAGGACUGAACAGGGUGUUGGUGGGUCAGAGGACAGAGCAUGAACCCAGCACAGGUCAAAUAUCCACUUCUGCUUGUAGAUCACAUGUGUUUUGGAGGCAGAGUGACCACUGAAAAACAGAGGUUGCUAUUAAAUGUAUUGCUGUCUUUUGUUUCAACUUCUGAGUCAGGCUAAUUACAGCUGCUCUUACCCAAGACUGACCUCUUCCACUCUUUCUGGCUGCCCCAAAUUAAUAAAGACUAUCUUGGAGUUUCCCUCUUUGAAAACUGAGGAGUUCCAUCAUGCAAGCAAAUUCAUAUUUGAGACAAGACAUGCAAGGAAGAUGGAGAGUCUUCUUACUGAUCAGGGACAUGCAGGAAUGGGUCACGAUGGGAAAGAUGUCACACUGUUCUGCUGGCAUCUCACUUACAGCUUUCAGGGAAUGCUCAUACCAGCGACAAUGUCCGGCCAGCCAAGUCUGGGAACUGAGUUCCAGUUUGAGAGGAUUAGCAAGCACUAAUGGUCCUUACCUAAAAAACACCAGAGACCAGCAGUCAGGUCUUUGGCAGUUACCUCCCUGUGUCUGGGCAGCUGUUAUUCCUGAGGGAGAAAAUGCAUGUCUUUCUUCCAAAUCAUCAUGUGUUCCAUGAGUGAGAAAUUAUGAUGAAGUUCCACAUUGAAAACUGACUGCAAAUGCAGCACCUUUGCACAUAACCUGCUUAGUCUGUGAAUUGUCACUUUUGCUGAUUUCAGGUGACUGAAAUAGAUUUUUACUACCUUCUACUUUCUAGUUGCAUAAAACUGACAUCAUUGAGAGCAAGAGAAAGAGAAUAACGUUUUCUGUAUUUCAUCAGCUGUCACAUUUCCUUUACCAGGGACAGUGCAGAAUGAUGCAGAAGACAUGGCUUCAUGUAUGGAUCCCAAUCAGUUAUGAAAAACAAUAAACACAGACCCCUAUACCACACUUUCUCCUGGGUUAUUUUUCAGAGCAGAGCCACUCUACUGCUUUAUAAAACUACUUCCUGAAGACUGCAUUUCUGCAGCAGCACAGCUAUUUUUAGCAACCAGACAACCUUUUUUUUGUAGGUUGGAACCACCAACCUACAGAAAGAGCUGUGAAGUACAUCAAUACCAGCUUAUCUGACAUCCUCAACUUUGACUCUGUAGCUGUGCUACCAAAGGGUCUUUUAGUCUAUCUGAUCUCUCAGAGAAAAUCCCAAACAAUUAAUUUCUAGUGGAAUGGUUCCUCCAACACCAUUCAGCAGCCUUGGCACAGAGCUACCAUAGAAGAACUACUUGAUGAAUACAAAACAUCUCAGCAGACAGGCUUUCAGUAAGAGAUGAAGGAAUGAAGUCUGGGGGAAGGAAGGUCUGACAAUGUCUUUGUCAUCACACAGCCAUGUCAUGUCACCAACUUGGCCCAAGUAGAGCUCCAGGCUCUGUGUAUAUGCCCUGGCAGCAGAAAUGGGACUGGUUCUGUUUGCUUCUUUUUAGUGCAGGGUUAUUUGUAUGCAUUGACAGAUCUUCAGGUAUAACAAGGCAAUGAGCAAGCAGAGAACAGAUGAUGAUUUUGUGCUGUGCAAGGAAAUAUGGUGAACAAAGACCAGUGAGCAUAUAAAUCUCCACCUGGUCAAUUAUGAAGUUAACACCUUUAUCUAUCAUUGUUACCCAGAGGAGGGAAACGUCCAGAUCUCUGGCAGUUUUGCUGCAGCACCAGCUACAAGACAUGCCAAUGCCUCUAAUUGCUGAAAACCUUGUUGUGGUGAUGAAGUCAAUGCUUUAUCUUCACUCUCAGUAACAGCCAGAAUACUGAUUUAAAGCCAGUGUCUUUCCUCAUGGAGACACAUGGUCCUGCAGUAACUGGCUUAAUCAGGACUCUGAUAUAUGUGGUCAUGGAUCAAGUCCUUUCUAACUCUUUACACACCCAAUACUCAAAAUACAGAUGCCCAUCAUUUGAAAGCUUAAAAACAUUUUUGCCAGAUUCGUCACCUGGGGCAAAUUAUUUCCAAGUCCCUAAGCUAGGAGCCAGAACAGCUGUUGUUGGCACCAGUGUCAGUAUAAUACAAGUCAGUAUUUCAAGCCAUGGCCACUGCUCUCAGCCUUGUGCCAAACUCUGCAGCAGCUGUGUCUGAGGGAAGUGAUGCCAGUCCAUCCAUGCCCUCCCCAGCAUACUCGGAGAGGUAGUGAGGGAGAAAGAGAAAUAAAUACUUUCCUCUCACUUCUUGUCUUUCCUUCACAAUGGGGUGAGGCCUCCUCAAGGCACCUGGACAAGCUACUCCUCUGCUCAGGAGCUUCUAGGGAAGCUUCAAAAACUUCAUGACCAGGGAGAGGGAUCUUGCUACACAUUUUGGGAUAGGAAGAUAUACAAGCUUCCAAAGCCAAUGGCUGUCCACUGUGGUGUUAGGUGGAACAGAUGGCAGCUCCACAGUGCAGCCUGGCCUUGCCACCAGCAGGGCAAUGUAUCUCCUGCACAUAUCCCAGGUCGAAGCACCCUGGACAUUACCUCCCAAGAGCACUUCCCAAACACAACCAGUAACUAGCAAAGUUUCUGUGGAAGCAAACUCCUGGUUUGGAUAUUGUGGGAUGGACUGCAAAGCCAUGACCAGCAAAGCUGGCACCUACUUUUCAGGAUUUGAAUAAGAACUGUCUCCAUACUGUUUCUUCUGCUCAACACUUUGUGGCUUGAAUUUUUAUUGGGUAGAUUGAGUCUUUUACCAAAUACUCUAUGAUGUUUGUGAACUAAUUUGGGAAAAUGAAGGCCAUAUUCCAAGGACAGUUUUUAGUUCAUUUUCGUUUCAUCCAGGUGCAGAGACAGGAGGGAUAGGUAAGGUGCAGAUCUUAAAGAAAGGGGUAAUAGGUAGUGCUGAAGCAACAGUGGAGAAAUUACAAGUAAUGAUGUCACAAAUUAAUAGUUUAGAGUUACUCAAGGAAUCACCAUCAAAGAUAUUGGCAAAUAUAGAUUUAAUACGUCUUUAUAAAAAUGUGCAUUAACAGAUUCAGUGGUGAGGUUCACUCUAUUACCUACUACAUGGACAAAACAUACAAAGGCAAAUUAAGUUAGAAUCUAUUUAGAAUGACAGAGACCAAAGAUCCAACAGAGUAUGGGAGCUCCUCCCCUUGAGUUGUGAGGCUCAGAGCCCCCUUGCUUUCUAAACUCAUGAUGAAGCCUAGCUGCACCUAGGGCCAAUCUUAGUCUCAGACUUGUACAAUUGUUUGUAACAAAGAAAUCAAUUUGUUUGUAAAGGAAUCAAUUACAUUAUUGCAUUAGUAUUAAUUUAGCAUGCUGUCAGCUAUUUACAGAGGAUUUGUUGCAAAGAAGGUAUCUCUCUGCCUUGGGUAAGGAAGGAUGUCUUGAUCUCAGGUAAAGAAUCUCAAACUUCGAGAGGCAUCCCAACUCCAGUGGAGAUCACACUUCUGCAGCCACACUGCCUAGCAGGAAGAGCUCAAUUAGGGUGUCAUAUUUAUGGGAUAAAGCAGUUAGCCCACAGUUCAAGUGCAUACAGUGAGAAAGGUAAGCAUGAGACUCUUUGUACCCACACAUACGUGUCUUGGCAAAACCACUAGCUCUCCUUGCAUUAACAGCAUGCUUGGUGUUCCAAGUCCACAUGCGUCGAUGCUCCCUGGGUCAUCUGCCCCUUUGUGGUUUCCCUGGGGAGAUUCUGCCUUGCACAUGGCCCAGGUCUUUACCUUCUUUGGAGUUUUUACCAGACUACUGCUAGUUUGGUUGGGGAGGUUGAGUGCAUCCACCACAAGUGAAUACUCUGAGUCUGUCAAUUUGUCACAUCUGUCUAGUUUGUCAAUUUGUGCAAAUCAACAUCAGUGAAGCCGAGUAAGCUUCAUCCACUGAGGAGCUGACCCGUUACUGCAGACAUUUCCUGGUUCUCAGCUGCCAUGGGGACGAAACCGCAGGCUGGUUCUAUACCCAUCUGAGUGAUUGCAUUCAAAUAUUUCCAAAUACCUUUAAUGUUCCCUUCUUGCUUGUCAGGGUUACAUAUCCUUGGAUAGGAUUUCUAUAACAUGUUUUUAGCAUCCUUUUACAUACCAUUAAAAUUGCUUGUAAUGUUACAGAGGGCUCUAAUUUUGCAUCGUUUAAACCAGUCCUAACAGCAGAGCUGUAAUAUCCUGUGCAUCUUGCCUCAAGGCACAAUGUAAAUGAAAGUAGAGCUAAGAAUAGAGCCUUGUGUCUCAGCUGAGGAGAGCAGCAUGUGCCUGCCUACAUAAGGAGAAGUAGUUUAUGUUUCUAAUAACACGCAACUUUUUUCUUUUUCUUCUUUUUAGGAAAAAAAAAAGUGAAUAGUAUCAAUGAAUUUGAGCUGAUCUAUUCUCCUUGCCUCAUUCCUAAGCAGAUGAACUAUAUAUAUAAGAAAAGCAGACAAUUUCCAAAGGAGAAUCUUGUCCUGUUUAAGAUAUAGUGAAUUCAGUCUUCAGACACCAUGAAGUCUGAGAGAUUUUAAGCUCUGUAAAGUCAGUCAAAUAAUUAUCUCACAAAAUGCAUUUGUGUAGGUGAAAUCCCUCUGGUUUAGUUAUUUUCCUGCUAUGAAAUGGAAAGCUGCUAGCCCCUUGGAAAAAAAAAAGCACAGGGAAACCAGAGAACAUCAAGUUUGUGUAAACACUUCUUUCCACUUGUACUCUUCAACUAAGUCUUGGUGAUGAAACACCUUAGAAAUAAGAUUUCUCUCUGACACAGACUUCUCUCCCAGUUGCAUGUACAGGCAACCAGAGUGAAACAUUAAAAUAAGGAAAAUUAAACAUGUUGCCAAACAGUUGAGUGUUAAACACAUCAUUAACUGAAAAUCUUACACUGAGUUGAAAUGCAGAAAAUUCAGAAGAACACCCUAAUCAAACACUUUUUUUCAUUAAGUUCAUUAAAAAUAGAGUAUUACCUGAAUUGCAAAGUGACUGUGACAUUAACUUGAUUUGGUUUUUUUCAGAAUAUUUUACAUUUAGGAGAUAAAAUCUGGCUGCAUGGCCCCGUGGAUAUGGAACUGGAUUAAGAAUUAAUCUGUUAAUUGGCUGGGCAAUUGGGCAAAGUACAUAAUCCCUCUGCAUGAUUUAUAUUUCUUCAUCCUUAAUACAGAGUUUUCAUGCACUUCAGCUUUCCUGAACUGUUUUGAUUUACACAGAUAAAAGGCUUAUAUUAAUUACUAUAGAUGAUACUGAAAUGCCAUAAAAGCAUUGCUUAAUGAAAUAUUGAUUUAAAAAAUAUCAAGUAGGACUAAGUCCUUGCCUUAGAUGUUGAGGAAAUGCCUGUGAAAUGGGAGUCUCAGAUCAGUCUCCUCAGAGAUAAUUCACAGCUCUGAACAGAGGACCAGACAGGAGACUCAGAAGGACUGAGUUGUUCAGUGGAAAAGCUAAGCCCUGGGUCUCCUAAAUAAUCAUCUGGGAUUGCCAUUGGCAGUCCAACCACAGGCACCUAAGAUGCCACCACUGCUCACAGCAAGAUCCCUGGUGACACCAGUGUCUUCAGGCUGCUAUUUUUCUUAAGUGGAAAUGAAACCAAGAGGAGUUGAGGGUAUAAUUUCAAGUCUUGCAAAAAGCUUCAAAUUGUAUGUUCUGUCUCUUUCAGUGGAGAGCAGCCAGGACCUGGAGGGGGGAGGGGGGGGGAGCAUUUAAACGUUAGUAACUAAUGAAGCUGUGUGGAACAGAGAGAUCAGAGACAGGAGGAGGCAGUGGUUUCUGAUAACUACAUUAAGGAAUCAACAGAGAGUUGAUUAUGCCUAUAUGUGCAGAGACAUUUACACUAACCCACAAACACCUACAGUUUAAUGCAUCAUGGGUAUCUUAGGUGACAAUGGCAUGCUGAAACAUUUCAAUAAUGCAGUCAGAAAGUUUAACCAUAAAGGCAAUGUGACAACAGCCUUAUAAUUAAUAUUUUAUCAUUAAAAGUGCUUGAAAAGAGGUUUAAAUGCAAUUUGAAGCAUCUGAGAGGUGGAAAAUCAUGUGAGCAGUAUGCAAUGGGUUAAACUGAAUAAUUUCACCUUUUAUCCUCACAGUGACGAACUGUGACACCUUUAUUUUUAUUUUCCAAUACUACUAUUAUAGUCCUUCUCUGAAUUCUGCCCUUCUUUUCCUCUUAUGAUUCUGCAUUUUUGUCCUUCUUUUUUUAUGCUAUUUCAUGUACUGGAUGGCACUGAGAUAAAACUGACCACAACCAUGUUUCCUGAAAGUACAGUGAAUGCUGCCUAAAAGUUUAUCAAUCUAAUAUGCUUUUCUUCCCUGCCAGAAAAUCACUGGAAAAAGCAGCAAGGAAUGAGCAUGGCUAGCUCAAAUCUGAAGCCCUGAGGCUGCAUCUGCUGGUGCAUCGCAGGUCACAGAGCCAGCGAUACUGGCAGUGCUGUUCAUUCACCAGAAAAGAGAAGAGACACGUGUAAAAGCAUGCUCUCACCUCUGUCUGCUUCCCAGCCUAGAUCUGUGGUUUCUGAAAUGAAAUUUGGCUGUUGGGGAGGCCAAUGGAACAGCACAGCACAGCAUGGCCGUUAGCAUUUGCAACCCCAUGGGGCUGCAGAUGAGGCCCUGGAAACCACCCAGGGCUUUGGGCUGCAGAAAGACAGGUGAAGCUCUGAGAAAUCCCUUCCUAGACUUCAGUGCAGCCAGGUAUUUUAUUGCAGGUAUAAUUUUAAUUGCAUCCAUAAUCCCACUGAAGUCUGUCGGGCUAUUCACAUCUCUCCAAUUAGGCACUUUCUGUAGGUACUUUGCUGAAUCUGUCCCUGGAAGUUUAUAGAUUUUUUUUUUAACCAUAUGUAGACCUCUUACCCCACACAACAGUUGGACAAGUUUAAUUAACAACCCAAGUGCCACUUAAGUGACCCAGAAGCACAGUUUAAAGCACAGAUGGAAGCCAAGACAGAUCAAGUGAAGAAAGAUAAAAACUCCAAGAGUAAAACUCUAACCUUGUAUCCAAGUGCCUAUGCCACAUGUAUCCCACCCAGCUUCUUAGAGACCCUUGCAGGAUUGAGGUGACAUUUAUCAGGAGCCUAACGUGCUGAGGUUGGGCACAUAAUAGCAGAGAGCACAGACUGAGAUAUGAACAAAAAAAGGAGAAAACAUUAAACAUGAAGUGAAUGUCUGGUCAGCCUGGAAAGCCCACCCACAAUGUGUUUGAGGGAAGCCUGUGGAAGGCAGGAGCUUGUGGCCACCUGCACAGAGCACAUAAGCUUCCAGCCUUUUGCAGCUCUGUGCAUGGAAUGUUAAGAGGAGCCAUUCAAUAAAACCAAUAAUAAAACCCUUGCUGCAUUUACUGGCUUAUGGAGUGGGGAGUGGGGAAAUCUCUCAUUCAUCUCAUCUGCAGCAAGGCAUUUCUGGGAUUUUGUUGGUGUCAGUAAAAGAGCUGCAGGUACAGAGACUCAAGGCACACUGAUUCAAGCGUUCUCUCAGGAUCAUCUGUGCCAUGUGCAAGAGCCACUGAUAAAAAGAAAUCAAACCCAACAGAGACCAGCUUAGGGUUCAGUUUUGCCUCUUCUGCUGGUAUCCAGAGUACAGUCCUGCAUCUCUGUGACUGCACUAUGCCAGCUAUUUCUUUGAGUGGUGGGAUCACUGGCCUGUGAUCCCACAACUGUCACAACAAAGACAAUACAGAAGCAUAAAUAAAAAAUAUCUCCACAGAAAUAAUUUAAAGGGAUGAUCUAGAAAUAGACUGAGUUCUCAUCCAGGGCUUCAGUUUUGAUAGUGAUGGUGGCUUUGAUGUGCCUUCUUCAGACUCCAUGCUAAAUUCAUACAUCCAUCUCAUUUUAAAGAGUGGGAGAAUUAAUCCUGAUUUUAGCUCUGUCACUUCAAGGAAUGAAGAAGGAAACAGCCCACUAAAAUAGACCUGAACUUAACUCAUGAGGUGAAAGUCUAAUUCUUUACGAGUAUCCAUUUAGUAUCUGGUGAAAGUACAGAAUACUCUAGAUUCUAUCCAUCUGAUUUUAUUGUUCUCUGAACAAUGGAGACAAAUCUGAAGCUGGAUCUAUUAAACUCUUCACAUAAAAAACAAAAGCUGGGAAUCAGAAAAAAAAAAAAAAAAAAAAAAAAA
Taeniopygia guttata (zebra finch) is the source of this 8741-nucleotide long non-coding RNA. Lineage: Eukaryota; Metazoa; Chordata; Aves; Passeriformes; Estrildidae. The record is from Ensembl.